GUAUCUGCAACCACCACGAACGAUAAAGGAGCAUAUGGAAGACAAGGCCAAAGAGUGAGUGAAGGAGAAAUAGGGUCCCACAAAGGAAGGAGCAGACGGGAGAAGGGACGCAAAGGAUGUAGCUCCUCUGGGAGCAGCAGCUCUGGCUCCAGCGGCUCCAGUUCCUCCUCUGCCUCCAGCCGCUCCAGGUCUUCCAGCUCCCGAUCCUCCAGCUCCUCAGGGUCACCCAACCUCAUUCGCCUCCGCAACAACAACUGCCAACGCUCACAGUCCAAAUCCAAGUUAUCAGUGAAAAAGGAUGACAAGGAGAGGCGUAGGAGGAGCCCCAGCCCCCCCACCAAGGUGUACCUGGGGCACCUCACCAGAAACGUAAUCAAGGGACACAUUCAGGAGAUCUUCGGCACAUAUGGCAAGAUCAAAAUGAUUGACAUGCCUGUGGACAGGCUCCACCCACACCUGUUGGAAGGUUACGCCAAGGUGGAGUUUGAGACGGUCAUUGACGCCAACAAGGCUCUCAAACACAUGGAUGGAGGUCAGAUUGAUGGACAGGAGAUCACAGCCACUGCCGUGCUGGCUCCCCCCACCCCCCCCACAGGAUGCCUCCACAACCCCCUAUGUGGCGACGCACCCCAUCCCGCAUAAGGAGGUCUCGGUCACCACGGAAACACUCUCCAGUUCGCCGCAGAACUCGCUCGCGCUCCCCCGGUUGCAGACGCCACCGCUCACGCUCCAGCUCGAACUCCUCCGGGUAGAGCUGCCUGGAACCCCUGACCUCACAGCUCCUCUCUUCCUCAUUUUCCCUUUCUUCACUGGAAAAGUUUCUGUAUCAAAAGUUCUACCCAGCUUCCUAUCCUUGUGUCCUUCCCUCUACGAUCACUGAUCUCACAGGACAUUACAGGAAAAAACAUGAGUAUUGAGACAGCCUUUCUCUAGCCAUAGUAUAUUUUUAUUGGUCUAUAAGCAUAAUAAUAGUUGCUAGGAUCAAUCUGAGGCAAGCUAGCACUGUCAAGAGGAGUGAAAUGAACCCCCCUCUCUCAUGCCAUUGUGAUUUGUCCUAAAGAGCUGAAUGGUGGUUGACAGAAUUCUCAUUUUUGUGGAACUUUUAUAGUUUUGUUUUGUACAUAGAUUGAGUGUUUUUUGUUUUCAUAUGCAACUACUAAACUGUCUUUAGUUUGAGGCCAGCUUGA
Salmo salar (Atlantic salmon) is the source of this 1187-nucleotide RNA transcript. RefSeq lists it as uncharacterized. Lineage: Eukaryota; Metazoa; Chordata; Actinopteri; Salmoniformes; Salmonidae. The record is from RefSeq and is a predicted model, not a curated record.